GAUGAACGCUGGCGGCGUGCCUAAUACAUGCAAGUCGAGCGAACAGACGAGGAGCUUGCUCCUCUGACGUUAGCGGCGGACGGGUGAGUAACACGUGGAUAACCUACCUAUAAGACUGGGAUAACUUCGGGAAACCGGAGCUAAUACCGGAUAAUAUAUUGAACCGCAUGGUUCAAUAGUGAAAGACGGUUUUGCUGUCACUUAUAGAUGGAUCCGCGCCGCAUUAGCUAGUUGGUAAGGUAACGGCUUACCAAGGCAACGAUGCGUAGCCGACCUGAGAGGGUGAUCGGCCACACUGGAACCGAGACACGGUCCAGACUCCGACGGGAGGCAGGCGGAGGGAAACUUCCGCAAUGGGCGAAAGCCUGACGGAGCAACGCCGCGUGAGUGAUGAAGGUCUUCGGAUCGUAAAACUCUGUUAUUAGGGAAGAACAAAUGUGUAAGUAACUAUGCACGUCUUGACGGUACCUAAUCAGAAAGCCACGGCUAACUACGUG
Molecule: ribosomal RNA, 497 nt
Filed under: uncultured bacterium
Lineage: Bacteria
Description: partial 16S ribosomal RNA
Rfam family: Bacterial small subunit ribosomal RNA
Source: RNAcentral